This 64-nucleotide transfer RNA is filed under the name Megabalanus ajax. Its description in RNAcentral is "tRNA-Tyr". It matches the Rfam family "tRNA". From Rfam's summary of the family: Transfer RNA (tRNA) molecules are approximately 80 nucleotides in length. Their secondary structure includes four short double-helical elements and three loops (D, anti-codon, and T loops). The record is from RNAcentral. Lineage: Eukaryota; Metazoa; Arthropoda; Thecostraca; Balanomorpha; Balanidae.
AAAAAGGUGGCUGAGUUUAGGCGCUAGAUUGUAAAUCUAGAAACGAGAAAAUCCUCCCUUUUUA